UAGAUGCGAGAGUAGAGCAUAUCAAUAAGCGGAGGAAAAGAAACUAACAAGGAUUCCCUUAGUAACGGCGAGUGAAGCGGGAAGAGCUCAAAUUUGAAAUCUUCAAGGUUUUACCUUGACGAAUUGUAGUUUAAAGAAGUGUUUUCUGUUGAAGUUUUGGUAAAAGUUCUUUGGAAUAGGACAUCAUAGAGGGUGAGAAUCCCGUAUUUGACCAUUAUUUUCAGCUGUGUGAUACACUUUCAAAGAGUCGGAUUGUUUGGGAAUGCAGUCCAAAAUGGGUGGUAAAUUUCAUCUAAAGCUAAAUAUUGGCGAGAGACCGAUAGCGAACAAGUACCGUGAGGGAAAGAUGAAAAGAACUUUGAAAAGAGAGUUAAACAGUACGUGAAAUUGUCAAAAGGGAAGCGUUUGACACCAGUGUUGUUUUUCCGAAAAUCAAUUACGAAUGUUUUAUUUUUGAGGAGUUAUGACUUCAUCGGCUUGCUCCUUUCUUUACGAAACUUUCUUAAUGCACUUUUCGGUUAACAAGUCAGCAUCAAUUUCUUUUGUUGUAAAAGGGUAUGAGGAAGGUGGCUUUCUUUUCGGAGAAAGUGUUUAUAGCCUUGUGCCUCUGCAAUCGGAGAGAUUGAGGUCUGCAGCGUAGAUCCUUCGGGGUUAGAUACGUUUGUGCUAAGUUAUAGCUUUUCAUAGACAACUUGUUGACUAUGUUUAGUCUUGUAGCUUACUCGCUUAUGCUAUUUUACCUACGCUUAGGAUGUUGACGAGACUGUCGAUCUC
Molecule: ribosomal RNA, 774 nt
Filed under: uncultured Neocallimastigales
Lineage: Eukaryota; Fungi; Neocallimastigomycota; Neocallimastigomycetes; Neocallimastigales
Description: partial large subunit ribosomal RNA
Rfam family: Eukaryotic large subunit ribosomal RNA
Source: RNAcentral